GACGAACGCUGGCGGCGUGCUUAACACAUGCAAGUCGAACGGAAAGGCCCUGCUUUUGUGGGGUGCUCGAGUGGCGAACGGGUGAGUAACACGUGAGUAACCUGCCCUUGACUUUGGGAUAACUUCAGGAAACUGGGGCUAAUCCCGGAUCGGAGCUCCUGCUGCAUGGUGGGGGUUGGAAAGUUUCGGCGGGUGGGGAUGGACUCGCGGCUUAUCAGCUUGUUGGUGGGGGAGUGGCUUACCAAGGCUUUGGCGGGUAGCCGGCCUGAGAGGGUGACCGGCCACAUUGGGACUGCGAUACGGCCCAGACUCCUACGGGAGGCAGCAGUGGGGAAUAUUGCACAAUGGGCGGAAGCCUGAGGCAGCAACGCCGCGUGCGGGAUGACGGCCUGUGGGGUGUAAACCGCUUUCGCCUGUGACGAAGCGUGAGUGACGGUAAUGGGUAAAGAAGCACCGGCUAACUACGUG
Molecule: ribosomal RNA, 468 nt
Filed under: uncultured bacterium
Lineage: Bacteria
Description: partial 16S ribosomal RNA
Rfam family: Bacterial small subunit ribosomal RNA
Source: RNAcentral